AGAAAUGCCUCCAUGAGAUCCAGGUGUAAGGCAUUUUCUCAAUUAGUGAUCAAUUGGAGAGGGCCCACGGUGGGCGGUGCCAUCCCUGGGCUGGUGGUC
MicroRNA precursor from Cricetulus griseus (Chinese hamster), 99 nucleotides. NCBI's taxonomy places the organism in Eukaryota, Metazoa, Chordata, Mammalia, Rodentia, Cricetidae. The record is from Ensembl.